GUAAUUUGACCGUGCGAAGGUAGCAUAAUCAAUAGUCUCUUAAUUGGAGGCUGGAAUGAAUGGUCGGACAAAGAGCUGGCUGUCUCUUUUGUACUUUUUGAAGUUUACCUUUAAGUGAAAAGGCUUAAAUAACUUUGAGGGACGAUAAGACCCUAUAAAACUUUACAGGUUUAUUUGUGCUUUUUGAAUUAAAGUUUAAUAUAAGCUACAAGUUACCUGUUGCGUUGGGGUGACGAAGAUAUAAUAAGUAACUGUCAUAUAAAUAAAAUAAUAAUAAUUAGUUUAAUUGAUCCUAUAUUAGAGAUUAUAAGAAAAAGUUACUUUAGGGAUAACAGCGUAAUUUUCUCUGAGAGUUCUUAUCGACGAGAGUAGUUGCGACCUCGAUGUUGAAUUAAGAUUUCUUUCAAGUGUAGCAGCUUGGUAAGUAGGUCUGUUCGACCUUUAAAAUCUU
RNAcentral lists this ribosomal RNA (451 nucleotides) under Plesionika acanthonotus. RNAcentral describes it as "partial large subunit ribosomal RNA". It matches the Rfam family "Bacterial large subunit ribosomal RNA", at positions 1936 to 2597 of the family's 2925-position model. Lineage: Eukaryota; Metazoa; Arthropoda; Malacostraca; Decapoda; Pandalidae. The record is from RNAcentral.